CAACAGUGGGCAAAUCCUGUCUGGCAAGUCAGUGUUAGAGCAUACAGUUUCCAGUACUGGAUAUAACAUAGUAUACCAAUACAUUAUUCAAGGUUGUCUUGAAGACCAUAGCCAAUAAAAUAUGGGGAUAUAUUAUAAUUUAGAGAAAUUAUUCCAGAUUUAAUUGACUCCUGCUGCCUCUGUUAACCAUAUGGAUGUCCAUGAUUGGAACUACAAUACUAUUCCUACUAAUUCUGGAAGCAAUGUUGAUGCUCAUGAUAUUCUUACCACUGGAUACCAUGUUAAUUUCCCUGAUCUCUCCUGCAAUGAGUGACAUGCUGGUUGUAGAUUCUUGCCGGACCCUGGGAGGGGACCAUCUAGGGGCUGGAUCCCCAUAGUCCCCGAUACUCAUGCUGAUGUCAUUGAUACCUGUUGCCUCUGUUAACCCUGUUGAUGUCUAUGAAAGCACCGCCCAUGCAUUCCUAUUGGUUCUGUAAGCCGUGCUGGUGCAUGUGGUCCUUGUUACCAAGGGAUAACAUUUUGAUUGCCAUGAGUUCUCUGGCCCCUUAUGAUCGUAUUAAUGUAAGUAUUCUGUGUUGCCAAACAUAAAGAAUGUAAAAAGAAUGUAAAUUUCCAAGAACUGAAAUACCAACUGAAACUAAGUUGAUAUCCGGAAUACUUGCUGUCACCUCCAAACAAAUUAAAUUCAUUUAUCCCUGCUGCCUCUUUUAAACAUGUGGAUGUCCAUAAGCAGACAUACCAUGCUAUUUCUGCUAUUUCUGGAAACCAUGUUGAUGCCAGGGUUCUUUCUUGCUCAUGGAUCUGAUGGUGAUGUCCAUCUGUCCUGCUACCUGAGACCAUGUUCUGUCUUUCCAACAUGAAGAAUGUUAAUUUCCCUGAUCUCAAAUGCCAUAGUAAACUAUGUGGCUAUCCACUCGACAUGCUGCCACCUAAAAACAUGUGGAUAUAAUUGAUCCCUGCUUCUGUUACCCAUAUGGAUGUCCAUGAUUGGAAGCACAAUGACAUUAGUAUUUCUAGAAGCAAUGUUGAUGCUAAUUAUCUUCUUACUACUGGGCACCAUGUUGAAUUUAUGAUCUCUCCUGCUACAAGUCACCACCUUAAGGUAAGUGUUUCUUGUUGCCAAUGUAUAGAAUGGUAAUUUUCAAGAUUUAACGAACUUUUGGUAACUAACUUGAUACACAUAAUUCAUAUUGCCACCUGCAACCAAGCUUAUGCCAUUGAUCACUAAAGCCUUUGAUAUUAAUGAAUGAAGAUCUCAUGCAUUCUUAUUGGUUGUAUAAGCCCUGUUGAUGCAUGUGGUCCUUGUUACCAUGGGAUAACACCUUGAUUGCUAUGAAAUCUCCAUCCCCUUAUGACCUUACUAAUAUAAGUGUUCUGUGUUGGCAAUAUGAAGAAUGUAAUUUCCAAGAAUUGAAAUACUAACAGAAACUAAAUUAAUAUCCUAAAUACAUGCUGCUACCUCUAAACAAGUUGAGUUCAUUAGUCCCAGCUGAGUCUCUUAAACAUGUGCAUGUCCAUGAUUGGAACUACAAUGCUAUUCCUACUCCUUCUGGAAGCAAUGUUGAUGCUCAUGAUCUUCUUACCACUGGACACCAUGGUGACUUCCAUGAUCUCUCCUGCUACAAGUGACCACAUAAAACUGGACACCAUGGUGAUUUCCAUGAUCUCUCCUGCUACAAGUGACAAUAUUAAGGUAAGUGUCCCUUUUUGGCAAUAUAUAGAAUGGUAAUUUCUGAGAUUUCAUGAACCUUUGUUAACUUAGCUAAUAUCUGUAAUUCAUGCUGCCACCUGGAACCAUGAUGCUGUCAUUUACCGCUGCUUCCUCUGUUAACCCUGUUGUCUAUGAAAGGAAAUGCCAUGCGUUCCUAUUGGUUCUGUAAGCCAUGUUGAUGCAUGUGGUCAUUGUUACAAUUGGAUGACGUCUUCAUUUCCAUGAGCUCUCUGGCACCUUAUGACCAUAUUAAUGUAAAUGUUCUGUGUUGCCAACAUAAAGAAUAUAAAUAUCAAAGAACUGAAAUACAAACUAAAACUAAGUUGAUAUCCAGAAUACUUGCUGUCACCUCCAAACAAAUUGAAUUCAUUUAUCCCUGCUGCAUCUGUUAAACACGUGGAUGUCCAUGAGUGGAUAUAUCAUGUAGCUCCUACUAUUUCUGGAGGAACAUUGAUGCCAGGGUUCUUUCUUGCCCAUGGAUCUGAUGUUGAUGUCUACCUGUCCUGCUACCUGAGACCAUAUUGAUGCCAGAUAUCUGUCUUUCCAACAUGAAGAAUGUUAAUUUCCCUGAUCUCAAAUACCAAAGUAAACUAUGUGGCUAUCCAUUCAGAAUGCUACCACCUGAAAUCUUGUGGAUUUAAUUGAUUCCUGCUGCUUCCAUUACCCAUAUUGAUGUCCAUGAUUGGAACUAUAAUGCUUUUCCCACUACUUCUGGUAGCAGUGUUGAUGCUCAAGGUCUUGUAAACAUCUGGACACCAUGUUGAUUUCCAUGAUCUCUGUUUCUGCAGGUGAUUAUGAUAAUGUAGACUUUCCUUGUUGCCAAUGUAUAGAAUGGUAAUUUCCAAGACUUAACCAACUUUUGGUAACUAAGUUAAUACACAUAAUGUAUCCUCCCACCUGCAGCCAUGCUGAUGUCAUUGAUCACUGCUGCCCUUGCAAACCCUGCUGAUAUUAAUGAAUGGAGCUCCCCUGUAUUUCUAUUGGUUCUCUAAGCCAUGUUGAUGCAGGUGGUCCUUUAUACCAUGGGUUAACAUCUUGAUUACCAUAAAUUCUCCAGCCCAUUUUGGCCAUAUUAAGACAAGUGUUCCUUUUGGGCAAUGUGUAGAAUGGUAAUAUCCAAGAUUUAACAAGCAUUUGUAACUAAGCAGAUACCCAUAAUUCAUGCUGCCACCUCCAACCAUGCUGACGUCAUUGAUCCCCUUUGCAAAUGUUAACCCUGUUGAUGUCUAUGAAUUCACCUGCAAUGCAUUCCGUUUUUUUCUGUAAGCCAUGUUGAUGAAUGUGGUCCUUGUUACCAUGGGAUAACAUUUUGAUUGUCAUGACCUCUCUGGCCCAUUAUGAUCAAAUUGAUGGAAGUGUUCUGUGUUGCCAUCAUAAAAUAUGUAAAUUUCCAAGAAUUGAAAUACCAAGUGAAACUAAGGUGAUAUCUGGAAUAUUUGCUGUCACCUCCAAAAAUUGAAUUAAUUCAUCCCUGCUCCAUCUGUUAAAAAUGUGAAUGUCCAUGAGCAGACUUACAAUGCUAUUCCUACUAUGUCUGGAAGCCACAUUGAUUCCAGGGUUCUUUCUUGCCCAUGAGUCUGAUGUUGAUGUCUAUCUGUCCUCCUACCUGACACCACGUUGGUGCAAGUGUUCUGUCUUUCCAUCAUAACGAAAGUUAAUUUCUCUGAUCUCAACUAACAAAGAAAUCUGUGUGGCUCUCCAUUGUACUUUUUGCCACCUGAAACACUGUGGAUAUAAUACAUCCCUACUGCUUCUGUUAACCAUGUGGAUGUCCAUGCUGGAGGCACAAUACCAUUCCUACUACUUCUGGAAGCAAUGUUGAUGCUCAUUAUCUUCUUAUACUGGGCACCAUGUUGAUUGCUAUGAUCUCUCCUGCUAGAGUUCACCACCUUAAGGUAAGUGUUUCUUGUUGCCAAUGUAUAGAAUGGUAAUUUUCAAGAUUUAACGAACUUUUGGUAACUAACUUGAUACACAUAAUUCAUAUUGCCACCUGCAACCAAGCUUAUGCCAUUGAUCACUAAAGCCUUUGAUAUUAAUGAAUGAAGAUCUCAUGCAUUCUUAUUGGUUGUAUAAGCCCUGUUGAUGCAUGUGGUCCUUGUUACCAUGGGAUAACACCUUGAUUGCUAUGAAAUCUCCAUCCCCUUAUGACCUUACUAAUAUAAGUGUUCUGUGUUGGCAAUAUGAAGAAUGUAAUUUCCAAGAAUUGAAAUACUAACAGAAACUAAAUUAAUAUCCUGAAUACAUGCUGCUACCUCUAAACAAGUUGAGUUCAUUAGUCCCAGCUGAGUCUCUUAAACAUGUGCAUGUCCAUGAUUGGAACUACAAUGCUAUUCCUACUCCUUCUGGAAGCAAUGUUGAUGCUCAUGAUCUUCUUACCACUGGACACCAUGGUGACUUCCAUGAUCUCUCCUGCUACAAGUGACCACAUAAAGUAAAUGUCCCUUUUUGGCAAUAUAUAGAAUGGUAAUUCCCAAGAUUUAGUGAACCUUUGUUAACUUAGUUAAUAUCUGUAAUUCAUGCUGCUACCUGCACCCAUGCUGAUGUCAUUGACCACUGCUGCCUUUGUUAACCUUGUUGAUGUCUAUGAAAGGGCGUGACAGGAAUUCCUAUUGUUUCUGUAAGCCAUAUGGAUGCAUAUGGUCCUUGUAACUGUGGGAUAUCUUCUUGAUUGCCAUGACCACUCUGGCCCCUUAUGACCAUAUUAAUGUAAGUAUUCUGUGUUGCCAACAUAAAGAAUGUAAAUUUACAAGAACAAUAAUACAAACUGAAACUAAGUUGAUACCUGGAAUACUUGCUGUCACCUCCAAACAAAAUGAAUUAAUUCAUCACUGCUGCAUCUGUUAAACAUGCGGAUGUCCAUGAGCAGACAUACCAUGCUAUUCCUACUAUUUCUGGAAGCCACAUUGAUGCCAGGGCUCUUUCUUGCCCAUGGAUCUGAUGUUGAUGUCUAUCUGUCCUCCUACCUGACACAAUAUUGGUACAAGUGUUAUGUCUUUCCAUCAUGAAGAAAGUUAAUUUCUCUGAUCUCAACUAACAAAGAAAACUGUGUGGCUCUCCAUUGUACUUUUGCCACCUGAAACACUGUGGAUAUAAUACAUCCCUACUGCUUCUGUUAACCAUGAGGAUGUCCAUGGUGGAGGCACAAUACCAUUCCUACUACUUCUGGAAGCAAUGUUGAUGCUCAUUAUCUUCUUAUACUGGGCACCAUGUUGAUUGCUAUGAUCUCUCCUGCUAGAGUUCACCACCUUAAGGUAAGUGUUGGUUGUUGUCAAUGUAUAGAAUGAUAAUUUCCAAGAUUUAACUAACUUUUCGUAACUAAGUUGAUACACACUAUUCAUGCUGCCACCUGCAUCCAUGCUGAUGUCAUUGAUCACUGUUGCAUUUGCUAACCCUGCUGAUAUUAGUGAAUGGAGCUCCCAUGCAUUCCUAUUAGUUCUAUAAGCAUGUGCUCCUUGUUACCAUGGGCUAACACCUUGAUUGCUAUGAAUUCUCCAUCACCUUAUCACCUUAUUUAUGUAAGAGUUGUUUGUUGGCAAUAUGAAGAAUGUAUUUGCAAGAAUUGAAAUACUAACAGAAACUAAGUUAAUAUCCUGAAUACAUGCUGCUACCUCUAAACAAGUUGAGGUCAUUAAUCCCAGCUGAGUCUUUUAAACAUGUGUAUGUCCAUGAUUGGAACUACAAUGCUAUUUCUACUCCUCCUAGAACCAAUGUUGAUGCUCAUGAUCUUCUUACCACUGGACACCAUGGUGAUUUCCAUGAUCUCUCCUGCUACAAGUGACCAUAUUAAGGUAAGUUUGCUUUUGGCAAUAUAUAGAAUGGUAAUUUCUGAGAUUUAAUGAACUUUUGUUAACUUAGCUAAUAUCUGUAAUUCAUUCUGCCACCUGCACCCACGCUGAUGUCAUUGACUGUUGCUGCCUCAGUUAACCUUGUUGAUUUCUGUGAAAGGACCUGAUAGGAAUUCCUCUUGUAUCUGUAAGCCAUGUGGAUGCAUAUGGUCCUUGUUACCGUGGCAUAACAUCUUGAUUGCCAUGACUUCUCUGGACCCUUAUGACCAUAUUGAUGUAUAUGUUUUGUAUUGCCAACAUAAAGAUGUAAAUUUCCAAGAACAAAAAAUACCACCUGAAACUAAGUUGACAUCUGGAAUACUUGUUGUCACCUCCAACCAAAUUGAAGUCAUUCUUCCCUUUUGCAUCUGUUAAACAUCUGGAUGUCCAUCAGCAGACAUAUCAUGCUAUUCCUAGUAUUUCUGGAAGCAUGUUGAUCCCAGAGUUGUUUUCUUGUCCAUCAUUCUGAUGUUGAUGUCCAUCAUUCCUGCUACUUGAGACCAUGUUAUGUCAUUCCAUCAUGAAAAAAGUUAAUUUCCCUGAUCUCAACUACUGUAGUAAGCUAUGUGGCUAUCCAUUCAACAUGCUGCCACCUGAAACCUUGUGGAUUUAAUUGAUCCCUGCUACAUCUGUACCCAUAUGGAUAUCUAUAUUUUGAACUAUAAUGCUCUUCCUACUACUUUUGGUCGCUGUGUUGAUGCUCAUGGUCUUAUAAACCACUGGACACCAUGUUGAUUUUCAUGAUCUCUGCUGCUAUAGGUGAUGAUGUUAAUGUAAGGGUUACUUUUUGCCAAUGUAUAGAAUGAUAAUUUCCAUGAUUAAACCAACUUUCGGUACAUAAGUUGAUACACAUAAUUCAUGCUGCCACCUGCAGUCAUGCUGAUGUCAUUGAUCACUGCGCCUUUGCAAACCCUGCUGAUAUUAAUGAAUGGAGCUCCACUGCAUUCCUAUUGGUUCUGUAAGCCAUGGUGAUGCAGGUGGUCCUUUAUACCAUGGGUUAACAUCUUGAUUACCAUAAAUUCUUUAGACCCUUAUGGCCAUAUAAAGGCAAGGGUUUAUUUUUGGCAAUGUGUAGAAUGGUAAUAUCCAAGAUUUAACAAGCAUUGGUAACUAAGCAGAUAUCCCUAAUUCAUGCUGCCACCUCCUACCAUGCUAUAGCAUGAAUCUUAAAAGUUCUUAUUAAUAAAAUCAAACCUGAGCCAAGUAUUGGUUUGAACACUGGAAGAUCAGAGAGACAGAACAAGCCACAGCUAACCUCACCUGGCCAAUUUCUCAGCUGAUCUUGUUUCUUCUGACUGGAAUCCUCUGUGUCCUCAUAUCCGAAUGGCUCUCAGCUGAACUGUGCUGCCCAAAACCUAAAAUCUUAACUAGCCAAAUGCUUAACCAUCCAAAUGCUUAACCAGCGAAAUGCUUCUAGUUUCUGGUCUUCACACAUCAUAUAUCUUUCCUUUCUACCAUCACACCUUGGGAUUAAAUAUUCGCUUUCUGGGAUUAAAGGCGUGAGUCACCCUGCCUGGCUGUUUCCAAUAUGGCCUUGAACUUUCAGAGAUCCAGAGGGAUUUCUGCUUUUGAAAUGCUAGGAUUAAAGUGUGAGUGCCACCAUUUUCUAGCCUUUUAUCUAGUAGCUGUUUUGUCUCUGACCCCAGAUAACUUUAUUAGGGUGUACAAUAUUUUGGGGAAUACAAUAACAGCACACCAUGCUGAUGUCAUUGACCUCCAUUGCCACUGUUAAUCUUGUUGAUGUCUGUGAAUGCACCUCCAAUGCAUUCCAAUAGGUUUUGUAAGCCAUGUUGAUGCAUGUGGUCAUUAUUACCAUGGGAUAGCACCUUGAUUGCUUUGAAUUCUCCAUCCCCUUAUCACUUUAUUUUUGUCAGUGUUCUGUGUUGCCAAUAUGAAUAAUGUAAUUUCCAAAAAUUGAAAUACUAACAGAAACUGGGUUAAUAUCCUGAAUACAUGCUGCUACCUCUGAACAAGUUGAGGUCUUUAAUCCCAGCUGAGUCUCUUAAACAUAUGCAUAUCUAUGAUUUGAACUCCAGUGCUAUUCCUACUCCUUCUGGAACCAAUGUUGAUGCUCAUUAUCUUUCCACUGGAGAACAGGUUGAUUUCCAGUAUCUCUCCUGCUACAAGUUAUCAUGUUAAGGUAAGUGUUCCUUUUUGGCAGUACAUAGAAUGGUAAUUCCCAAGAUUUAAUGAACCUUUGUUAACUUAGCUUAUAUCUGUAUUUCAUGCUGCCACCUGCACCCGUGAUGAUGUCAUUGACCUCUGCUUCCUCUGUUAACCUUGAUGAUGUCUAUUAAAUGACCUGCCUAACAUUCCAAUUGUUUUUGUAAGCCAUGUUGAUUCAUGUGGUCCCUGUUACCAUGGGAUAACAUGUUGAUUGCCAUUAACUCUCUGGCUCCUUAUGACCAUAUUAAUGUAAAUGUUGUGUUGCCAACAUAAAGAAUGUAAAUUUCUAAGAACAAAAAUACCAACUGAAACUACGUUGAUACCUGGAAUACUUGCUGUCACCCCAAACAAAUUGAAUUCAUUCAUCCCUGCUGCAUCUAUUAGACAUGUAUAUGUCCUUGAACAGACAUAUCAUGCUAUUCCUACUAUUUCUGGAAGCCAUGUUGAUGCCAGGGUUCUUUUCUUGCCCAUGGAUCUGAUGUUGAUGUCCAUCAUUCCUGCUACUUGAGACCAUGUUAUGUCUUUCCAUCAUGAAAAACGUUAAUUUCCCUGAUCUCAACUACUAUAGUAAACUAUGUGGCUAUCCAUUCAACAUGCUGCCACCUGAAACCUUGUGGAUUUAAUUGAUCUCUGCUACUUCUGUUCCCCAUAUGGAUAUCUAUAUUUAGAACUAUAAUGCUUUUCCUACUACUUCUGGUAGUAGUGUUGAUGCUCAUGUUUUGGUAAACAACUUGUCACCAUGUUGGUUUCCAUGAUCUCUCCUGAUACAGGUGAUCAUGUUAAUGUAGGUGUUCUUUUUUGGCAACAUAUUGAAUGGUAAUUUCUAAGAUAUAAUGAACCUUUGGUAACUUAGCUGGUAUCUGUAAUUCAUGUUUACACCUGCACUCGUGCUGAUGUCAUUGACCCCUGCUGCCUCUGUUUACCUUGUUGAUGUCUAUGAAAGGACCUGCUGGCAUUCCUAUUGGUUCUGUAAGUCAUGUUGAUGCAUGUGGUCCUUGUUUUAAUGGGAUAACAUCUUGAUUGCCAUGACCUCUCUGGCCCCUUAUGGCCAUAUUAAGGUAAGUGUAUAUUUUUGCCAACAUGAGGAAUGUAAAUUUCCAUGAACUGAAAUACCAACUGAAGCUAAGUUGAUAUCUGGAAUACUUGCUGCUACCUCCAUAUAAAUUGAAUUCAUUUAUCCCUGCUGCAUCUGGUAAACAUGUGGAUGUCCAGGAUCCAUUAUCUUAUGGUACUUCUGGCAUUACUAGAAGCCAUGUGGAUGUCUGUGGUCCUUCUUGCCAGUAUAUUCCAUAUAGAUUUCCUUGAACUCUUGCCACCUGUGACAAUAUUAAUGUUAAGUGUUCUGUGCUGUCAAUUGAAGAACAUUAAUUUCCAAGAAUUUAACCACCAACUGAAACUAAGUUGAUAUACAGAAUGCAUGGUGCCACCUCCAAACAUUUUGAAGUCAUUGAUCCCUCCUGCCUCUGUUGGACAUAUUGUUGUUUAUGAUUCUAAUUAUGAUAUUCCUAGUACAUUUGAAAUCCAUGAUGAUGCCCAUCAUAUUUGUACCAGUGGAUACCAUAUUGUUUUUUGUGAUCUCUCCUUCUGUCUUUGACCUUGUUAAAUUAAACUUUCUCUCACCAACAUGAAGAAUAUUAUGUUCCAAGAUUUAACCUUUGAAAUGUUAAGUUCCAAGAUUUCACUAAUCUUGGAAACUAAUAUUAUAUCCAUAAUUCUUGGUAUCAUCUGAAUCCAUGGUCUUUUUAUUGAUCCCACUUGUCUCUGUUAACCAUGUUGAUGCCUAUGAUCAGAACUUCCAUGCUAUUCUUAUUCCUUCUGGAAGCCAUGUUGAUUCCUAUGCUCCUUGUUACCACUGGAUAACGUCUCGGUAUUGGUGACCUGUGUGGUCAAAUAUGACCAUAUUAAGAUAAACUUUCUGUUAUUCUAACAUGAACAAAAUAAAUUUCCAAGAAUUCAACUAACAUCUAAAACUAAGUUCAUAUCCAUAAUUCAUGCUGCUGUCUAUAAACAUGUUGAUGCCAUUGUUUCCUGCUCCCUCUUAACGGUUUUGAUGUCCAUGAUCAGACAUUCCAUGGUAUUCCUACUAUUUCUGGGAGGCAUGUUAAUGCCUGUGGUUCUUCUUGCUCCUCAAUAUGAAGUUUAUAUCUAUCUUUCCUGCCAUGGUAUUGUGAAUGAGAAAAAUGUUAAUUUUCAAGAUUUAUUGUGCAGUCUGAAAAUAAGUUGAUAUCUAUGAUUCAUGCUGCCACCUGCAUCCAUGUUGAUGCCAUUGAUCCUACUUUGUUAAUCAAAUUGAUGUCUAACAUAGGACAUCAUGCUAUUCCUGCUUCUUCUGGAAGCCAUGUAGAUGCCUGUGGUCCUUCUUAACCACUACAUACAUUGUUGAUGUCCAAUAUCUUUCCCCUUGUGCCUGCAUUAAAUUAUUGUUCUGUGUUACCAACGUGCAGAAUGUUAAUUUGCAAGAUUUAACCCACCAUCCAAAUUUAAGAUGAAAUCCAUAAUUCAUGAUGCCACCUGAAACCAUUUUGAUGCCAUUUAUCCCAUGUGCCUCUGUUAACCAAAUUGAUGUCCAUGAUUGGAUGACCUACCAUGCUCUUCCUACUAUUUCUGGAAGCCUUUUUGAUGCUUGUGGUCUUUCUUACUGUAGAUAUGACAUUGAUGUCCAUAUCCAUGGAGAAAUUUUGCUACCUGAGACCCUAUUGAUGCAAGAGUUCUGUGCUGCAAACGUGAUGAAUGUUAAUUGCCAUGAUCUCAGCUACCAUCUGAAACUGUUGAUAUUUACAUGCUACCACGUACAACCUUGUUGAUGACAUUGAUGCCUGCUGUCCUCUUUGUCAUGUUCAUAAACCUUUCUGUGCUAUUCCUAUUGGUUUGAAGUCCAUGUUGAUGCCUUAUGGUAUGUUUUGCUCCUGGAUAAGAUGUUGAUGUAUAUGGUCUGACCUGCCACCUGAGACGAUGCUGAGGUAAGUUUUCUGUGUUGCCAACAUGAAGAAUAUUGAUUUCCAUGAGUUGAUUUGCCAUUGGAACUUAAGUUGAUAUCUGUAAUUCAUUCUGUCCCUGGAACCAUGUUGAUACCACUGAUUCUUGCUUCUUUUGUUUAUCAUGUUAAUUACCAUGAUCUGACCUACCAUGCUGUCGCUACUCUUCUGGAAGCCAUGUUGAUGCCUGUGGUUCUUGGUGCCCAGGGAUAUGAUAUUGAUGUCGAUGUUCUGUUCUGACUCCUGAAUCCAUGCUGAGGCCACCACAUUGAUGUCACUAAUCUUUGCUGAAUGUUUUAACUAUGUUGAUAUCCAUGAGCCAACCCUCCAUUCAAAACUAUGUUGAUGUCAUGGAUCCUUUCUACUUCUGCUAUGUUGCUGCCCAUGAUCUCACCUACCAUUCAACCCCUACUGCUUCAGGGAGCCAUGGCGAUGCCUGCAGUCCUUAUUGCCCCUGGAUGAGAUGUUGACAUCCAUGUUCUGUCCUUCCACCUGAGACCACAUUGAGGAAAUCAUGUUGAUGUCACUGUUCUUUGCUGCAUCUUCUAACCAUGUUGAUGUUCAUCAUCCAACCUACCGUCCAAACUUUGUUGAUGUUACUGAUCUAUGUUGUAGCUGUCAACCAUGUUGAGGUUACUGAACUUUGCUAACACCUGUAACCAUAUUGAUGUCUGCAAUGUACAGUGUCAUCAGAAACAAUGUUGAAGUCAUUUGUCCAUACUGCUGCCUUUGACCCAGUUCAAGCAACCAUGUUGAUGUGACUGAUUCUCGCUGCCUGUCUUAACCUUGCUGAUAUCCAUGAUUCGACCUGUCAUCUGAAACUUUGUUGAUGUCACUGAUCUUUGCUGUUGCUGUCAACCAUGUUGAUGCUACUGAAACUUGCUUCUGCUUGUAACCAUACUGCUGUCUGUAGUCUGUUAUCAUCUGAGACAAUGCAGAAAUCAGUGGUGCAUACUACCACCUGAGACCCACUUCAGGAAACCAGCCUUGUUGAUGUCACUGAUCUUUGUUCCCUGUUUGGACCAUGUGGAUGUCCAUUAUCUGACUUAACAUCUGAAAUUAUGUUGAUGUCACUCAUUCAUGCUGCCACUGAUAACCAUGUUUAUGGCCAUAGUCUUUGUUGGAAUCUUAGACCUUGUGGAUGUCCAUUGUCCAUGUUGCCACCUGAAUCCAUGAUGAUGACCAUGAUGAUUGUAGUCUGUGCUGCUGCUGGGGAUUAGGUCAAUAUAAAUGAUCUGAGCUGCCAACAGAAACUAUUUUGAUAUCAUUAAGCCAUCCUGGUGCUGGAGACCAUGUUGACAUCUUUGUCCUUGCUGCCACCAAAAACUGUUUAUGUUCAUGCUCUGGGCUGCAUGCUGAAGACCAGUUGAAUAUCCACGACCCAGAUGCUGAUGGAGACUGUGUCAAUGUCUGUGGUUAGUACUGCCACAAGAAGGCAUCCUGAUAGUGAUCUGUGAUGUCUCCCACAAACAUGUUAUGUUGGUGAACUGUGUUGAUGUCGUGGACCAGAUGGAUGUCAGUUAUCCAAGCUGUAACCAGAAAUCUUGUGGACCAUGAUCUGUGCUGCUCCUGGAAACCCUUUAGAAGUCUAUGAUCCAUUCUGCUACUGGAAACCAUGUGGAAGUCUGAGAUCUGUACUGCCACUGACUUCUAUUGGCAGGGAGCUUUUUACAGUGGUAUCAAUAAUUGUAGAAUCAUAACUGAAAUUCAGACAGACAUUGAAGGCUUCUGUGCCACCCUCCCCCCAAAAAGAAAAUCCAGACAGGAUCUUAUUGGAGAGUCCUUGAAAGUUGUAAUAAAAAUACUUAACUGUA
Peromyscus eremicus (cactus mouse) is the source of this 12490-nucleotide long non-coding RNA. RefSeq lists it as uncharacterized. Lineage: Eukaryota; Metazoa; Chordata; Mammalia; Rodentia; Cricetidae. The record is from RefSeq and is a predicted model, not a curated record. The transcript is spliced from 10 exons.